CCUACGGGAGACAGCAGUGAGGAAUAUUGGUCAAUGGCCGCAGGGCUGAACCAGCCAAGUCGCGUGAGGGAUGACGGUCCUAUGGAUUGUAAACCUCUUUUGUCAGGGAGCAAAGGGCGCCACGUGUGGCGCUUUGCGAGUACCUGAAGAAAAAGCAUCGGCUAACUCCGUGCCAGCAGCCGCGGUAAUACGGAGGAUGCGAGCGUUAUCCGGAUUUAUUGGGUUUAAAGGGUGCGCAGGCGGAAUGUCAAGUCAGCGGUAAAAUUUCGGGGCUCAACCCCGUCGUGCCGUUGAAACUGGCGUUCUUGAGUGAGCGAGAGGUAUGCGGAAUGCGUGGGGUAGCGGUGAAAUGCAUAGAUAUCACGCAGAACUCCGAUUGCGAAGGCAGCAUACCGGCGCUCAACUGACGCUCAUGCACGAAAGCGUGGGUAUCGAACAGGAUUAGAUACCCGAGUAGUC
RNAcentral lists this ribosomal RNA (459 nucleotides) under uncultured bacterium. RNAcentral describes it as "partial 16S ribosomal RNA". It matches the Rfam family "Bacterial small subunit ribosomal RNA", at positions 338 to 795 of the family's 1533-position model. The record is from RNAcentral.